RNAcentral lists this transfer RNA (73 nucleotides) under Arachidicoccus sp. RNAcentral's name for it is "tRNA-Thr". It matches the Rfam family "tRNA". From Rfam's summary of the family: Transfer RNA (tRNA) molecules are approximately 80 nucleotides in length. Their secondary structure includes four short double-helical elements and three loops (D, anti-codon, and T loops). The record is from RNAcentral. Lineage: Bacteria; Pseudomonadati; Bacteroidota; Chitinophagia; Chitinophagales; Chitinophagaceae.
GCCUCCUUAGCUCAGUUGGUAGAGCAACAGUUUCGUAAAUUGUAGGUCGUAGGUUCAAGUCCUAUAGGGGGCU